UGCAAAUGCUCCAAAAUAAUUCUUCCUCAUCACAGCCAGAAAAGGGCGAUUGUCCCGUAAGCAUUUCGUAAAGGAGAAUACCAAAAGACCACCAGUCCACGGCUUGAUUGUACUUCAAACCCUUUAUUAUCUGCACAGAUGACGUAAACAAUUUACGGAGAGAAUUUUACGUUUAUCGUGACAUUUGGCAUCAUUGAGAGGAGAAUUAUUGUAAACUAUUGUUGGUGAAUUGACCUAGAAAAUGAAUUCUCGAUUUUAAAGGCUACGAACGAAAGUCAAGUCAUUGUACUCGAGAGAAUGGUAGGUCCAUGAGGAAGUACUAAACUACAAUCACAAGUCUGAGAAGAGGAAUAGAGUGACAAAUAUUCCUUAUCGAAUUAAAGGGAAUCCACAAAAUUCAUGUGGUGCACAUUGCAAGUCGUGUAUUAAUUGUCAGAAAAAAAUAUUCGUUUUCAAGCUGGCAUUAUACGUUUAAUGGAACUAUACCUAUAGAGAGGACUUUUGGCCCUGUGACAUUUUUCAAAAAUAGACUUGGCGUCCAUUGACAUAUACUGAGGAAAAAAUUUAUUUCUGUUUUGCCGAAAGCUGCAUGUUAAAGAAGAAGAGGAAGAAGAAGAAAAAGACGAAUAAAAACCAACCAUUAAAUUCUCAUGCUGAUGCAAAAAAAAAAGGAACACAAAAAGGAAAAAG
Molecule: long non-coding RNA, 690 nt
Organism: Leptopilina heterotoma
Lineage: Eukaryota; Metazoa; Arthropoda; Insecta; Hymenoptera; Figitidae
Exons: 4
Source: RefSeq, a predicted model, not a curated record